Molecule: long non-coding RNA, 1606 nt
Organism: Prosopis cineraria
Lineage: Eukaryota; Viridiplantae; Streptophyta; Magnoliopsida; Fabales; Fabaceae
Exons: 4
Source: RefSeq, a predicted model, not a curated record
GAGGGAGAGAAAUUCUAGGUCUAGAAAUUUCGAGCUUCUCUGUCUUCUCCAUCGGUCUUCCUCAUCCUUCCUUCUCCAAUGUUCUUCCCGUGUCACCGGCGGUCGUGGAUGCUCAGCACUGCCUUGCAAAAAUGCCCAGUGUGUCUCUGUAGGUGCUGCCAUUAGCGAGUCCUUCUUCAUACUCUCUGCCUCUGUUCCUUUUCUUUUUCGUGCUGCUGUUCUAUCUUGCUGUGCACAUCUGGGUCGUUGGCUGAUGGAAGAAAUCAGGUCGUUGGAGUGGGUGUACUGAUCGCCAAUCUGAAUCAGCGCUGAGUUCCUUUUUCUUCUCCCUCUUGGUUUCUUCCUCCUUUAUUUUGUUCGUUUGUGGUUGGGAAGUGAAGGAAGAGCUGAUAUGGUGCUGUGGAAGGAUUAAUUCGUGGGUUGAGGCAGAAAUAUUGCUAUAUUCUUCUUCCCCUGUUCAGUUGUGGAUUCAGUUUUCUUCCUCCCUCUGUGUGUGUGCACUGUCGGCUAACUAAGGAUGCUAAGAGAAAGGAGGAGUUGAUUGAAGUUCUAAGAAAUGAAUUUUGAUGCUCGGGCAUAUUAUAGGUAAGUGGAUAGCGUCCCAACUGCUUUAUCAUAAAAUUAGUUUCUGAAAUAUUAUAUUUAUGCAAAUAAUUUUAAUGACAAUUAUGUUAAGUAUUGAAUAUUUUGUCAUUUAAAUUCUUAUUUUGGGAAAUUAUAAAGAAGUUUUGAAAGAUAAUUGAGUUAUGGUAUGCGUAUGUUUUUUCUUAUAAUGAAUACUUUUAAAAAAUUGAUGAGAUUAUUUUUUUUAUCAACCCUGGUUAUUCUGAGUUAUGCAAUAAAUGUCAAAUAUGGACUUCAGAUAUGAAAUUUUAUCGUGGCAUGUUUUAAUGCUCAAAAGUAUUCAUGUGAGUUUGAUUUUGAGAACGAGAACUGUAUCUUGAAAAUGAUGAUUUUCUCGCAUGUUUGAAAAUGGUUUUAAAAAGGGACUUUAUACGGAACACUGGUUGCUAACGGCAGUUCCAUUAGCCCUUGGUGCGCCAUGGUACACCUAGCUAGCAGGGUGUUUAUAGGAGGUGCUAGCCCCGUGCGAUGGCCAACGCACGUGGAACGGAGGGAUGGUUAUUCGUGAGCAUUGUACUCACGUUUGAUUUCGUGGCUUUGAGCCGCGUUUGGUUAGUAUUACCCUCGUGGACUGGGUGUCCACGUUUGUUUCGUGGCUUCGGCUGCGUUUGGUGAUUUACCCUCGUGGAUUGUGUGUCCACGUUUGUCUUCGUGGCACAAGCCACGUUUGGAUUAUUUACCUUCGUGGACUGUGUGUCCACGUUUGAUAAUUGUUCUGAUAAGUCCCUAUGGUUAUGAAUCUGAUUAUUUGGUGAUUUGAUAUCCCAUUGGUUUUUAUUGAGUAAUUUAUUUACAAGUAUUUAUUUCCGUUAUAAGACUUCUUAAAAUCAAGUGAAAUUAACAUUUGAUAUGAUAGUUCAAUAAUUUGAGAUUUUAUUUGAAAUUUACAUAGCCAUUUUAUUGUGAAGUUUAUUAAAUUUUUAUAAAGAUGUUGUCUAUUUAACUUACACAAUUAUUUCAAACUUUUCAUUUUAUUCAUGUG